AUUGAACGCUGGCGGCAUGCCUUACACAUGCAAGUCGAACGGUAACAGGUCUUCGGAUGCUGACGAGUGGCGAACGGGGGAGUAAUACAUCGGAACGUGCCUAGUAGUGGGGGAUAACUACUCGAAAGAGUGGCUAAUACCGCAUGAGAUCUACGGAUGAAAGCAGGGGAUCGCAAGGCCUUUUGCUACAAGAGCGGCCGAUGGGAGAUUAGGUAGUUGGUGGGAUAAAAGCUUACCAAGCCGACGAUCUGUCGCUGGUCUGAGAGGACGAUCAGCCACACUGGGACUGAGACACGGCCCAGACUCCUACGGGAGGCAGCAGUGGGGAAUUUUGGACAAUGGGCGAAAGCCUGAUCCAGCAAUGCCGCGUGCAGGAUGAAGGCCUUCGGGUUGUAAACUGCUUUUGUACGGAACGAAAAGCCCCGGGUUAAUACCCUGGGGUCAUGACGGUACCGUAAGAAUAAGCACCGGCUAACUACGUGCCAGCCGCCGCCGUAA
This 498-nucleotide ribosomal RNA is filed under the name uncultured bacterium. RNAcentral's name for it is "partial 16S ribosomal RNA". It matches the Rfam family "Bacterial small subunit ribosomal RNA", at positions 30 to 523 of the family's 1533-position model. The record is from RNAcentral.